UACGUAGGGACCAAGCGUUGUUCGGAUUUACUGGGCGUAAAGGGCGCGUAGGCGGCUUGACAAGUCACUUGUGAAAUCUCCGGGCUUAACUCGGAACGGCCAAGUGAAACUGUCAUGCUAGAGUGCAGAAGGGGCAAUCGGAAUUCUUGGUGUAGCGGUGAAAUGCGUAGAUAUCAAGAGGAACACCUGAGGUGAAGACGGGUUGCUGGGCUGACACUGACGCUGAGGCGCGAAAGUCAGGGGAGCAAACGGG
RNAcentral lists this ribosomal RNA (253 nucleotides) under uncultured bacterium. RNAcentral's name for it is "partial 16S ribosomal RNA". It matches the Rfam family "Bacterial small subunit ribosomal RNA", at positions 524 to 776 of the family's 1533-position model. The record is from RNAcentral.